This 194-nucleotide ribosomal RNA is filed under the name uncultured Hydrogenophaga sp. Its description in RNAcentral is "partial 16S ribosomal RNA". It matches the Rfam family "Bacterial small subunit ribosomal RNA", at positions 338 to 524 of the family's 1533-position model. The record is from RNAcentral. Lineage: Bacteria; Pseudomonadati; Pseudomonadota; Betaproteobacteria; Burkholderiales; Comamonadaceae.
CCUACGGGAGGCAGCAGUGGGGAAUUUUGGACAAUGGGCGCAAGCCUGAUCCAGCAAUGCCGCGUGCAGGAAGAAGGCCUUCGGGUUGUAAACUGCUUUUGUACGGAACGAGACGGUCUGGGUUAAUACCUCGGGCUAAUGACGGUACCGUAAGAAUAAGGAUCGGCUAACUCCGUGCCAGCAGCCGCGGUAAU